GAUGAACGCUAGCGGCAGGCUUAAUACAUGCAAGUCGAGGGGUAACAUGGUAGCAAUACGGAUGACGACCGGCAAACGGGUGCGGAACACGUACAGAACCUUCCUUUAAGCGGGGGAGUAGCCCAUAGAAAUAGUGGAUUAAUACCCACUAGUAAUGUUUAAUGGCAUCAUUAGAUAUUUAAAGUAUUUAUUCACUUAAAGAUGGCUGUGCGGCUGAUUAGGUAGUUGGUGCGGGAACGGCCCACCAAGCCAGCGAUCAGUAACUGGUGUGAGAGCACGACCAGUCACACGGGCACUGAGACACGGG
RNAcentral lists this ribosomal RNA (307 nucleotides) under uncultured bacterium. Its description in RNAcentral is "bacterial SSU rRNA". It matches the Rfam family "Bacterial small subunit ribosomal RNA", at positions 28 to 330 of the family's 1533-position model. The record is from RNAcentral.